AGGACGAACGCUGGCGGCGUGCUUAACACAUGCAAGUCGAACGGUGAAGCCCUUUCGGGGGUGGAUCAGUGGCGAACGGGUGAGUAACACGUGAGCAACCUGCCCUUGACUCUGGGAUAACUUCGGGAAACCGGAGCUAAUACCGGAUAUGACACGCGGAGGCAUCUCCUGUGUGUGGAAAGAUUCAUUGGUCAAGGAUGGGCUCGCGGCCUAUCAGCUAGUUGGUGGGUAAUGGCCUACCAAGGCGACGACGGGUA
This 257-nucleotide ribosomal RNA is filed under the name uncultured bacterium. RNAcentral describes it as "partial small subunit ribosomal RNA". It matches the Rfam family "Bacterial small subunit ribosomal RNA", at positions 26 to 285 of the family's 1533-position model. The record is from RNAcentral.